AUUCACGCCUGCAUCUUUCCUUACAAGUCAUCACACAACAACCCCUUCCUUGCUGACUUCGUUCGGAGGCGUUGAAGAAGCGAUUAAGGGCCCAGCAGCACCCACCACGCGCCCCGUGCGCUCCGGCAGCAUGGUCGGACCGGCUGCUGCGGCACCCGACCCGCUGAGCUGCUCCUGGCCUUCGGAGAGACCCCAGCCCUGGGAUGGAGGAAGGUUUCUGGGGGUUCUUUUGAGUAUUGAUGCUUCCCAGUGCUUUACGCAGCAGUGCCGGGUCAGAUGCUAUAUUCAUCAGCCAGGAGAAGCAAAAGAUUUUAGAAGCUGAGGGUUCAUUUGCUUUUCUGGCUAAAAGGAGCUUUGCCCUUCCCAGUGCGUCAGGGCCGCCUUGCGCAAGGCUGCGCUCGCCGCCCGCUCUCUUCUGCUGCCACCCCGUGCUUUUCGCCCCAGGGCUCCCCUCUCACGGAUGCCCAAAUCGAUGCUGGGAUGUGAACAGUUCCCAGGAAGAGGCAGGAAGAAAGGAGAUGCAAAUCCUUUCUGCUGCCCCCACCUGGCCUUAGUGCUUCUCCCUGGCAUUGCCUGGAUGGGUUUCCACGGUCUCGGGGAGCCUGCACCGCGGUGCCCCCAGGGCUUGCUCUGGUCCUGCCCGCAGCGGCCGCUCCUUAAGCAUCCAUCAAACAGCCGCGACCGGGGGAAGUGAUCCCUGGUUUCAUUCCACCCACGUCCACCUUCUUAGUGGAGAAGCUGUGUUUGUUCGCGCCGGUGUCUGGCCUCCUGUCAAGAGCUCCUGCAGGCAGCUUGGAGCUGCUCCUAAUGGGCUGCCAGGGGAUUUGCGCUCUGACAGUAGCGUGCGCCGGGCGCUGACAGCUCCCUGGAACGGCUCGCUCCACCCAUGGGACUGGAAAUUGCUCGCUCAUCUUCUCCCCAGCGAGACAGCAGAGGGAUGAGCAGGGAUGCUCCGCUUGGAGGGGGCUGGUUGCACGUGAACCCCCUUCUCCCUACCACACGUUUGCAAUGGGGGGAUGCUUGGAGCUGAAAAAGCCCACAGACGGCACUGGUACAAGCAGACGUGGGAUGGUGACGCUCUGGGACAAGACGGUGAUGCUUGUCCCAGGUCCAAGGGGGCAGUCAUGCAGGGAUGGGGCCCCUGUGAGCUGGGAGAGCUGGGAGCAAGCACCAAUGCCCUGCAGGACUCCCCCUCCAGCUGCUGUCCCCUGCCUGACCGAAAUGCCACCUCUCUUCUGUUUAACACAGGGCUCCUCUGUUUCCCCGCCACAGGGCCAGGGACUCCCUGGGUUGAUCCCAGCCACCAGCUGCAGAGGGAACGGCCUGUCGUGGAGCACCUCACCGUCUUGUAUGGCUUUUUAUUCCUAUGUGAUUAUACAUCCUGCUUCAUAUAGGGAUUGAAGCCGUGCAAUACGCUGGGGCCCUACAGCAGAGAGCAGCCCGUGCACCGUGGGAGCCGGCCUCGGAGGAGCCACCAAAGCCAGCCUGAGCUCCGUCCUGCACCCAGGAUUCCCGGGGCUGCCUUUCCAAAGUGGUUGUGCUUCAUCACCAAGGAUGCAGGAGGUGGAGGGAAAGGAGGAGGAAGAAGCUGGGGAUCGGCUGCAGCACUGAGGGCUGCCCCGAACACAACAACACUCUUCAAAGUUUCUCAAGAGGCUGCCACUGCUCUUUAAAGGCACGUGCACCCUGGAGCCAGGAUGGCAAGGAGUUGGCCCCAGCACGGCUCUCGUGGUGGAAUCACUCAUUGCAGCCACAGUCCCACCCUUGGCUUCUUCCUUUACCAAGGCAGGCUCAAGUGACACCAGUGUCCCAUCCAGGGCAGGUAUAGCCCCAGGUCCCCACGUGCAAAGUCAUUGCUCCUUGCAGGCUGCAACAACCCAGAGACAAAGCGGUACUUGGCAGAGGAAUAAAACGAUGCCUCGUCUGUGAGGGAUGCAAACACUGAAGAGAGUUACGUCUUGCAGAGCUCCUUCCUCCCUGGACAGAUGAUAUGGCCCACUCAAGCAAUCAGUCAG
This is a long non-coding RNA of Oxyura jamaicensis (ruddy duck), 2015 nucleotides long. RefSeq lists it as uncharacterized. Lineage: Eukaryota; Metazoa; Chordata; Aves; Anseriformes; Anatidae. The transcript has 3 exons. The record is from RefSeq and is a predicted model, not a curated record.